RNAcentral lists this ribosomal RNA (706 nucleotides) under uncultured marine haptophyte. Its description in RNAcentral is "bacterial SSU rRNA". It matches the Rfam family "Bacterial small subunit ribosomal RNA", at positions 541 to 1248 of the family's 1533-position model. Lineage: Eukaryota; Haptophyta. The record is from RNAcentral.
UUAUCCGGAAUCAUUGGGCGUAAAGCGCCUGUAGGUUGUUUACUAAGUCUGUUGUUAAAGACUAGGGCUUAACCCUAGAAAAGCAAUGGAAACUUGUAGACUAGAGUAUGGCAGGGGUAGAGGGAAUUUCUAGUGUAGCGGUGAAAUGCGUAGAUAUUAGAAAGAACACCGGUGGCGAAAGCGCUCUACUGGACCAUUACUGACACUGAGAGACGAAAGCUAGGGGAGCAAAUGGGAUUAGAUACCCCAGUAGUCCUAGCCGUAAACGAUGGAUACUAAGUGCUGUGCGUAUCGACCCGCGCAGUGCUGUAGCUAACGCGUUAAGUAUCCCGCCUGGGGAGUACGUUCGCAAGAAUGAAACUCAAAGGAAUUGACGGGGGCCCGCACAAGCGGUGGAGCAUGUGGCUUAAUUCGAUGCAACGCGAAGAACCUUACGAGGGCUUGACAUACUGCGAAUCUCUUUGAAAGAAGAGAGUGCCUUCGGGAAUGCAGAUACAGGUGGUGCAUGGCUGUCGUCAGCUCGUGUCGUGAGAUGUUGGGUUAAGUCCCCGCAACGAGCGCAACCCCUUGUUUUUAGUUACCAAUUCGUUGGGUUUUCUAGAAAGACUGCCGGUGACAAACCGGAGGAAGGUGAGGAUGACGUCAAGUCAGCAUGCCCCUUAUGUCCUGGGCUACACACGUGCUACAAUGGUGAGGACAAAGAGUC